This is an RNA transcript of Drosophila pseudoobscura, 1188 nucleotides long. RefSeq lists it as uncharacterized. Lineage: Eukaryota; Metazoa; Arthropoda; Insecta; Diptera; Drosophilidae. The transcript has 4 exons. The record is from RefSeq and is a predicted model, not a curated record.
GUCAUUGUAAAUUUUGUUCAUGUGCCGAGUACACGUCUUGUUUUUCAAUAAUUUGUUUAAAAUUUCAAGUUUUUCGUACUGCUGUGUCGAUAUUAAAUUUAGAAUUAAGUUUACUAGGGAAUAUAAACGCGCCGAGAGAAAUGCCACCAUUUAUACGCGACGAUGUGCCAUUCGUCUGGUGCCAGGAGGAGCAGAACCAGGAGCAGAACCAGGACAAUAACCUGAACGCAGAACCAAUCCAAGAGGACAAUGAAUUGUCCAGUGAUGAUCAAGCGUUGGAUGUGGCCCUGUUACAAGUCAGAGCCGCUGUGGAGCGAAAUGCUGUAGAAGCAGAUCGUGCCGGAAUAAAUGUUGUGGCCUUCCAUCAGCGCAAUGCCGUUUAUUCGAGCCUCCUUUUCGAGUUCGUAUCUGCCGUCGACAGGAAGAUAGCUCUCAACCGGGAGCCAGCCACCGCGGAGACCGCCAUCGAGCACAGCGCCCUCACCGCGCAGAUCAAUCGACUGGUGCGGGAGGUCUGCGAAUUUAACAUCAGCUACAAUUAAUAUUUUGGAAAUACCAUUUCGGCCUCCUCAAUAAUAAGUGUACCUCAUUUUUGCGCUCGAUGGGGCUUAUCCGAUUGGACGUGACAUCGCAGAGACAUAGUCUUAAGAUGCCCUAUAGCUCUGUAGAAUACAAGGUCCACAAGUAAGAACGGUUCGUGCUCCGAGGCACUGUACGAUGUGCUUGGUCUUUCUCUUGGCAACAGCCCAAAGUCCAAUCACUCAGCUCCAAUAUGUAGAAAAACGAAUCUCACCUAAUCCCAUACCACUCCCGACUCCAACUCAAGUACAAUCCGCUGGCAAGUGGCACUUUAGAGACAUAGAAACCGAACAAUCAAAUCUGAAUUAUUAUAUAAGCCAUAAAUGGGAAGUGAAAUAAAAACAAAAGCAAUACCAAAUGCUAGAUGUGCGAACAGGUGGGCUGAAAAAUGGGAAAAAUGUGUAUCUGGGAAGCUGAAACGAUUUCAAGAAGCCCCAUUAACCUCAAUUAGUGACUUUGGAUUUGAACGAGAUGCAAAACAAUGGCAAACCGAAAACUGAAAACUGAAAACUGAAACUGGAGCUCGCUGAAAGUGAAACAGAAACAGAAAUUAUACGAACAAACACAAAACUCGAACUGAAACUGCUAAUUAAAAUAAUGUCAAUAAAA